This 490-nucleotide ribosomal RNA is filed under the name uncultured bacterium. RNAcentral's name for it is "partial 16S ribosomal RNA". It matches the Rfam family "Bacterial small subunit ribosomal RNA", at positions 30 to 507 of the family's 1533-position model. The record is from RNAcentral.
AUUGAACGCUGGCGGCAGGCCUAACACAUGCAAGUCGAACGGUAACAGGAAGAAGCUUGCUUCUUUGCUGACGAGUGGCGGACGGGUGAGUAAUGUCUGGGAAACUGCCUGAUGGAGGGGGAUAACUACUGGAAACGGUAGCUAAUACCGCAUAACGUCGCAAGACCAAAGAGGGGGACCUUCGGGCCUCUUGCCAUCGGAUGUGCCCAGAUGGGAUUAGCUAGUAGGUGGGGUAACGGCUCACCUAGGCGACGAUCCCUAGCUGGUCCGAGAGGAUGACCAGCCACACUGGAACUGAGACACGGUCCAGACUCCUACGGGAGGCAGCAGUGGGGAAUAUUGCACAAUGGGCGCAAGCCUGAUGCAGCCAUGCCGCGUGUAUGAAGAAGGCCUUCGGGUUGUAAAGUACUUUCAGCGGGGAGGAAGGGAGUAAAGUUAAUACCUUUACUCAUUGACGUUACCCGCAGAAGAAGCACCGGCUAACUCCGUG